CUGGAUUGACAGCCUUCAGUAUCAGCAUCCACAUAUUUUCAGACUCACUUAAUCCUUGUUGUUCAAACCAGGAGUAUCUGUUGGCCAAUGUUCUUUUCAUCAGUUUCCAUAAUACUGCGUGAGGCUGUCUCCAUGCUGCUAUAUGACACUGAAGAGCUCUGUGUCGUUCCCAAGCUUGUCUCUUUCACUAACACAAGUUGGUCAAAUAAAAGAUAAUCCCUCAUUUGAAACCACUGGUAUCUAUUUAGAAAUGGUAUUUGACACGACUGGUAUCCUUUCAGAGAACAGUAUUUAAGUAUUUUUGCCAGGAAGCUGUUUAAAAGCACAAAAGCAAAUAAAAAAGCACCGCUAUAAA
Molecule: long non-coding RNA, 355 nt
Organism: Gopherus flavomarginatus (Mexican gopher tortoise)
Lineage: Eukaryota; Metazoa; Chordata; Testudines; Testudinidae
Exons: 2
Source: RefSeq, a predicted model, not a curated record